RNAcentral lists this long non-coding RNA (1633 nucleotides) under Aplysia californica (California sea hare). Its description in RNAcentral is "uncharacterized LOC118477621". The record is from RNAcentral. Lineage: Eukaryota; Metazoa; Mollusca; Gastropoda; Aplysiida; Aplysiidae.
UUUGGAUGGAGGACACAUUUUUUUUGUCAGGGAGAAAUGUUUCGUCAGCCAGCUGUUCAAAUAUUCUAAAACCAGAGAGCAAAAUUUUUCUGGACAGUGAAAAAAACGUUCAUUUUUUCAACAUCUGUGUCUACUUCACAUAUUUUUCUUGAUAAUUUUUUCAGCGUUUUAAAUUUGUUGUCAACAAAAUAUUUUUUGAGCACUGGUAACCCCGAGAUUAAGAAACUUCAAAAAAAUAAUUUUUAAUCAGAAUUUUGGGCUUGAUACAUCUGAGUGGCCGGCUGACGAUUUUUUUUCUUCUGGUCUAUCUCAGGACAUCCAGCAGUCCACGAAGAAGGAAAGCCAGGAAGGAGUAAGAGACGCGUGAGAUAGAGUGUGCACCACGGCUUACACGAUGUAUUCAGUGUUACUACUUCUGUACUCGUGAAGGUGAGAAAGUCGACUAUAUAUAUAACCUCUGUUCCAUCUCAUCGCAGUUUAAAAAAAAAAAAAAAAUUAUAAUCAUAUAAGCUUAGAGUUUUAUUUCAAUGCAUGUACAAAUCAUGAUACACAGAGUUCUUGUUGUCUUUCUGUUUCCAUUUCCACCAUUUUAUUUGUGCAUAGAUGCGGAAGUGUUGUGGCAUAUACGUCACCGAUGGUGGUGUUGUCGUGCGUUUUGUGCGUCCGUGCAGACGCUGAAAGGAGCGGGGCCCGAGGGAAAGGAUCGACUGUCACAUCCGCGUCUGUCUAGGAAUAAGAGAUGAUAAAACGCCCAGCGACGGGUGUAAGAGGAAGCUGAGCUCAACAGAUUCAGCGGGCAGUGACUUUAAUAAGAGUCUUCUUAGUCUCAGAAAUGUACUUACCUGCUCUUCUCUGCUCCCUUCUCCGUGUGUGUGUGUGCGUGAGUGAGUGAGUGCGUGCAUGCAUGCGGGAUCUCCCUGUUUGUGGGCGUGCCUCUCAACUCGGUUUCAGUGUGUUGGUUCGCCUUUUUCCAUUCAUCACUCAAUUCCCAGUGCAGACGUACAGCAGUUGUGGAAAAAUAUGGAUCUGCAGCAGUCGUUAGAUUGUGGUAUUUAUUCAUUGGCUGUAGAGCGUCGGUAUUUUGUGUGUAGAUGUGUUUAGAAUGUAUGAUAUAUAUAUUUGUUCUACCUCUCCCUAAUGAUGGGGUUGGGUCUGCAAUAACCAGUAUGCUGUACUCUAGUGUUGGAGAGAGUGUGUGGGGCUCGAGGACGGUUCCGCGGAUACCACUUGUGGAUCGGGGUUGUUUGGACGAUUCAGCGGAUACCACUUGUGGAUCGGAAUUGUUAAGACGAUUCCGUGGAUACCACUUGUGGAUCAGGGUUGUCGAGCUCUCUCACCCCCCUCUUGUAUUUUUUAAUGCCAUGUGUAUGAGUAGAUACUGCAUCGUGCAGCGUAGAUCUGUGGGCUCUGUGAAUUCUCCGUCUGUCUGUGUGUGUGUGAAUAAUGAGAAAAUCUUGUGUUUUUUUAAGCGGAAUUGAAUGAUGAUCUGUGAGGAGGGGAGGGGGGUGCAUUUGUUUGCUUAGGUGUAUAUUUUCUUGUGUGGUUGGUUGUUAUAUAUAUAUUUUUUUUCGGUGAGCGUGUGUUUCUCAAUUUGUGAAAAUGAGGCUGAAGAUGCGGAGAGGAUAGCUGCAAA